Molecule: ribosomal RNA, 308 nt
Filed under: uncultured bacterium
Lineage: Bacteria
Description: partial 16S ribosomal RNA
Rfam family: Bacterial small subunit ribosomal RNA
Source: RNAcentral
GAGACAGCAGCAGCCGCGGUAAUACGUAGGGUGCGAGCGUUAAUCAGAAUUACUGGGCGUAAAGCGUGCGCAGGCGGUUGUGUAAGACAGGUGUGAAAUCCCCGGGCUUAACCUGGGAACUGCGCUUGUGACUGCACAGCUAGAGUAUGGCAGAGGGGGGUGGAAUUCCACGUGUAGCAGUGAAAUGCGUAGAGAUGUGGAGGAACACCGAUGGCGAAGGCAGCCCCCUGGGCCAAUACUGACGCUCAUGCACGAAAGCGUGGGGAGCAAACAGGAUUAGAUACCCCCGUAGUCCCUGUCUCUUAUAC